CACUUUCAACAACGGAUCUCUUGGCUCUCGCAUCGAUGAAGAACGUAGCGAAGUGCGAUAAGUAUUGUGAAUUGCAGAAUUCCGUGAAUCAUCGAAUUUUUGAACGCAAAUUGCACUCCCUGGUAUUCCGGGAAGUAUGCCUGUUUGAGG
RNAcentral lists this ribosomal RNA (150 nucleotides) under Glomus mycorrhizal symbiont of Marchantia foliacea. Its description in RNAcentral is "5.8S ribosomal RNA". It matches the Rfam family "5.8S ribosomal RNA". Rfam says of the family: 5.8S ribosomal RNA (5.8S rRNA) is a component of the large subunit of the eukaryotic ribosome. It is transcribed by RNA polymerase I as part of the 45S precursor that also contains 18S and 28S rRNA. The record is from RNAcentral. Lineage: Eukaryota; Fungi; Glomeromycota; Glomeromycetes; Glomerales; Glomeraceae.